GUAACACGUGAGUAAUCUGCCGGGAAGUGGGGGAUAGCUCGCCGAAAGGCGAAUUAAUACCGCAUAUGGCCAUUCUUCAAUUGGAGAAAAAGCCAAAGCCGCAAGGCGCUUCCUGAUGAACUCGCGGCCUAUCAGCUUGAUGGCGGGGUAAAAGCCCACCAUGGCUAUGACGGGUAGCUGGUCUGAGAGGACGAUCAGCCACACUGGAACUGAGACACGGUCCAGACACC
This 230-nucleotide ribosomal RNA is filed under the name uncultured bacterium. RNAcentral's name for it is "partial 16S ribosomal RNA". It matches the Rfam family "Bacterial small subunit ribosomal RNA", at positions 110 to 339 of the family's 1533-position model. The record is from RNAcentral.